This 1368-nucleotide ribosomal RNA is filed under the name uncultured bacterium. RNAcentral describes it as "partial 16S ribosomal RNA". It matches the Rfam family "Bacterial small subunit ribosomal RNA", at positions 28 to 1381 of the family's 1533-position model. The record is from RNAcentral.
GACGAACGCUGGCGGCGUGCCUAAUACAUGCAAGUAGAACGCUGAGGUUUGGUGUUUACCUAGACUGAUGAGUUGCGAACGGGUGAGUAACGCGUAGGUAACCUGCCUCAUAGCGGGGGAUAACUAUUGGAAACGAUAGCUAAUACCGCAUAAGAGUAAUUAACACAUGUUGGUUAUUUAAAAGGAGCAAUUGCUUCACUGUGAGAUGGACCUGCGUUGUAUUAGCUAGUUGGUGAGGUAAAGGCUCACCAAGGCGACGAUACAUAGCCGACCUGAGAGGGUGAUCGGCCACACUGGGACUGAGACACGGCCCAGACUCCUACGGGAGGCAGCAGUAGGGAAUCUUCGGCAAUGGACGGAAGUCUGACCGAGCAACGCCGCGUGAGUGAAGAAGGUUUUCGGAUCGUAAAGCUCUGUUGUUAGAGAAGAACGUUGGUAGGAGUGGAAAAUCUACCAAGUGACGGUAACUAACCAGAAAGGGACGGCUAACUACGUGCCAGCAGCCGCGGUAAUACGUAGGGUGCGAGCGUUGUCCGGAAUUACUGGGCGUAAAGAGCUCGUAGGUGGUUUGUCGCGUCGUCUGUGAAAUUCCGGGGCUUAACUCCGGGCGUGCAGGCGAUACGGGCUGACUUGAGUGCUGUAGGGGAGACUGGAAUUCCUGGUGUAGCGGUGAAAUGCGCAGAUAUCAGGAGGAACACCGAUGGCGAAGGCAGGUCUCUGGGCAGUAACUGACGCUGAGGAGCGAAAGCAUGGGUAGCGAACAGGAUUAGAUACCCUGGUAGUCCAUGCCGUAAACGGUGGGCGCUAGGUGUAGGGGGCUUCCACGUCUUCUGUGCCGUAGCUAACGCAUUAAGCGCCCCGCCUGGGGAGUACGGCCGCAAGGCUAAAACUCAAAGGAAUUGACGGGGGCCCGCACAAGCGGCGGAGCAUGUGGAUUAAUUCGAUGCAACGCGAAGAACCUUACCUGGGCUUGACAUAUACAAGACAGGCGUAGAGAUACGUCCUCCCUUGUGGUUUGUAUACAGGUGGUGCAUGGUUGUCGUCAGCUCGUGUCGUGAGAUGUUGGGUUAAGUCCCGCAACGAGCGCAACCCUUGUCUUAUGCUGCCAGCAUUUGGUUGGGGACUCAUGAGAGACUGCCGGGGUCAACUCGGAGGAAGGUGGGGAUGACGUCAAAUCAUCAUGCCCCUUAUGUCCAGGGCUUCACACAUGCUACAAUGGUCGGUACAACGCGCAGCGACACUGUGAGGUGGAGCGAAUCGCUGAAAGCCGGCCUUAGUUCGGAUUGGGGUCUGCAACUCGACCCCAUGAAGUCGGAGUCGCUAGUAAUCGCAGAUCAGCAACGCUGCGGUGAAUACGUUCCCGGGCCU